AAGAGCAAGAUAGAGUUUAAGUGGAGUGCACAAGUGAUGGGAUGGUCAAUGUCAAGCCAACCUUUGCUACAGUGCUAGACAUAGCUUAUUACAUUUUGAUGUGUUCAAACUAGCUAGUGUGAGUCGGAUACCUUAUGUGUUUUAGCUGUGGUGCGUUAUCGACUAAGUUUGACAUUGGAUGGUUUCAUUAAUAAUUUCUACGAACAAAACAUAUUUUGGAUUAAUGGAUGUCUAAAUGCUUCUUUCACCAUAUAUUGUUUGGCAUGCAAUUAUUGUUUGAAGCAAACAAAG
Molecule: long non-coding RNA, 291 nt
Filed under: Setaria viridis
Lineage: Eukaryota; Viridiplantae; Streptophyta; Magnoliopsida; Poales; Poaceae
Description: long non-coding RNA (SVIR_LNC003296)
Source: RNAcentral